GGCCUUAAGGUGAUAAUCACAUCGAAUUGCAAAUUCGAAGGUGUAGAGAACUGACUCUACUAAGGCUUC
RNAcentral lists this transfer RNA (69 nucleotides) under Microtus agrestis (short-tailed field vole). Its description in RNAcentral is "tRNA-Cys". The record is from RNAcentral. Lineage: Eukaryota; Metazoa; Chordata; Mammalia; Rodentia; Cricetidae.